UUAACUUACACCACAAACCGCCCGGGAAUUACGAGCCCAAGCUUAAAACCCAAAGGACUUGACGGUGUCCCAUCCACCUAGAGGAGCCUGUUCUAUAAUCGAUUCUCCCCGAUACACCUCACCACUUCUAGCCCAACAGUCUGUAUACCUCCGUCGCAAGCUUACCAUGUGAACGAAACUAGUGAGCUUAAAGAUUUUUUCACCAACACGUCAGGUCGAGGUGCAGCUUACGAAGCGGAAAGAAAUGGGCUACAAUUUCUAAUCUAGAACAAACGAAAGACUACAUGAAAAACAGUCAUGAAGGCGGAUUUAGUAGUAAAAAGAAAAUAGAGUGUUCUUUUUAAUAAGGCCCUGGGACGCGUACACA
This 367-nucleotide ribosomal RNA is filed under the name Hypopachus guancasco. RNAcentral describes it as "Hypopachus sp. n. TJF-2020 partial small subunit ribosomal RNA". It matches the Rfam family "Bacterial small subunit ribosomal RNA", at positions 852 to 1389 of the family's 1533-position model. Lineage: Eukaryota; Metazoa; Chordata; Amphibia; Anura; Microhylidae. The record is from RNAcentral.